GAUGAACGCUGGCGGCGUGCCUAAUACAUGCAAGUCGAGCGAACAGACGAGAAGCUUGCUUCUCUGAUGUUAGCGGCGGACGGGUGAGUAACACGUGGGUAACCUACCUAUAAGACUGGGAUAACUCCGGGAAACCGGGGCUAAUACCGGAUAAUAUUUUGAACCGCAUGGUUCGAUAGUGAAAGACGGUUUCGGCUGUCACUUAUAGAUGGACCCGCGCCGUAUUAGCCAGUUGGUAAGGUAACGGCUUACCAAGGCGACGAUACGUAGCCGACCUGAGAGGGUGAUCGGCCACACUGGAACUGAGACACGGUCCAGACUCCUACGGGAGGCAGCAGUAGGGAAUCUUCCGCAAUGGGCGAAAGCCUGACGGAGCAACGCCGCGUGAGUGAUGAAGGUCUUCGGAUCGUAAAACUCUGUUGUUAGGGAAGAACAAAUUUGUUAGUAACUGAACAAGUCUUGACGGUACCUAACCAGAAAGCCACGGCUAACUACGUGCCAGCAGCCGCGGUAAUACGUAGGUGGCAAGCGUUAUCCGGAAUUAUUGGGCGUAAAGCGCGCGUAGGCGGUUUCUUAAGUCUGAUGUGAAAGCCCACGGCUCAACCGUGGAGGGUCAUUGGAAACUGGGAAACUUGAGUGCAGAAGAGGAGAGUGGAAUUCCAUGUGUAGCGGUGAAAUGCGCAGAGAUAUGGAGGAACACCAGUGGCGAAGGCGGCUCUCUGGUCUGUAACUGACGCUGAUGUGCGAAAGCGUGGGGAUCAAACAGGAUUAGAUACCCUGGUAGUCCACGCCGUAAACGAUGAGUGCUAAGUGUUAGGGGGUUUCCGCCCCUUAGUGCUGCAGCUAACGCAUUAAGCACUCCGCCUGGGGAGUACGACCGCAAGGUUGA
Molecule: ribosomal RNA, 889 nt
Filed under: uncultured Bacillota bacterium
Lineage: Bacteria; Bacillati; Bacillota
Description: bacterial SSU rRNA
Rfam family: Bacterial small subunit ribosomal RNA
Source: RNAcentral